Ochotona princeps (American pika) is the source of this 137-nucleotide small nucleolar RNA. RefSeq annotates it as small nucleolar RNA SNORA70. The transcript has a single exon. The record is from RefSeq and is a predicted model, not a curated record. Lineage: Eukaryota; Metazoa; Chordata; Mammalia; Lagomorpha; Ochotonidae.
UAAUAGCUAAUUAAGCCGACAAGCUCCCUUAUUUCACGGGUGCUUGGUGUGCAAUGGUUGCAAAUAGCAGCCUCCUUGGUAGUGUGUGUGCAACUUGCUGCUUGUAUGGGCUGCCCUAAGGGACCUUAGAGACAGUC